ACGCUCGACACCUACGGGGGGCAGCAGUGGGGAAUAUUGCACAAUGGAGGAAACUCUGAUGCAGCGACGCCGCGUGAGCGAAGAAGUAUUUCGGUAUGUAAAGCUCUAUCAGCAGGGAAGAAAAAGGACGGUACCUGACUAAGAAGCUCCGGCUAAAUACGUGCCAGCAGCCGCGGUAAUCUGAGCGGGCUGGCAAGGC
This 199-nucleotide ribosomal RNA is filed under the name uncultured bacterium. Its description in RNAcentral is "partial 16S ribosomal RNA". It matches the Rfam family "Bacterial small subunit ribosomal RNA", at positions 328 to 539 of the family's 1533-position model. The record is from RNAcentral.